CCAUUGGCUACUUCUCUUGCAUGCUUGAUCCUGUUGCCAGAGGCAGUCCCUCCUGCCUGCGGGCAGUGUUUGCUGCUAGUGCCCUCUUGGACAAAACUAAUGACUUCGUCCUUGGACAUUCCCUGACUGUCCUAGCUCCACAUGAUAUUUCUGCAAUUCUUCAACAGACCCAACCAAGGCAUCUCUCUUCUCAACGUCAUCUGCGGUUGCAAACUUCUUUAUUACUGCCUGACAACGCUACUCUACAACGCUGCUACUCACUAAACCCGGCCACUCUUCUGCCACUUCCCAAGGGGGGAGUGGCACAGUACUGGUACAGCCUGGAUAUCAACCCAGAUGCCCGGAUGGAAUUCCAAUUACCUGCUCCUGCAACUCCACAUAAUGUGUUGUGGGACUCCAGAGGCAACAUGGUCCUGCUAGUGCACCUUCCAACAGAAGUAUCCCACCUCUACCGUUAUUGGGAAACAGUUGUCCCACACAUAUCCUGCACCAAGUCCCCUGACUUCUCAUGGAAAGAUCUAGGCCCAAUGGCCAAAUCCUGGAGUGCAAUAACCCAAGGACAGCUUGAAUUAUUGGGAGUAACAAAGAAGAUUAUCAACUGCAGUACAGUUGGAUAUCCUCGAUACCACACAGAGAUCUGUGAAGAUCUCCCUCCCAUGGAACAAGAUGUAGAAGCCCCCCAUGAUUGUUUUGAACAGAUGAAGAUGGAAACUACCCAUUUACCAACCGUACAUGAGACUGCUCUAUCUAAUCCAGACCAGAUACUGUUUGUGGAUGGUUCCAGAUUUGCUGAUGAGCAAGGGCAAUAUCACACUGGAUAUGCAGUUACCACAGAAUGUCAAGUAUUACAAGCUGCCGCACUUCCACCAACCAAAUCAGCUCAGGAAGCCGAGCUAACAGCCCUCACAGUGGCCUGUAAGCUAUCUGAGGGCCUACGUGUUAACAUUUAUACAGACUCAAGAUACGCCCUGGGAGUAGCACACGAUUUUGGCUUAAUUUGGAAAACCAGAGGAUUUCUCACAGCCACUGGUACUCCAGUAAAACAUGGCAUAGCCAUUGAAGAACUAAUGGAUGCCCUAACACUCCCAGUAGAAGUGGCAGUGCCCAAAGUGAAAGCCCACGGGAGGCUGAAUUCAGAAGAAGCACGAGGCAACCACUUGGUUGAUCAAGCCGCCAAGGAUGCAGCACGACAAGGGUGGAAAGUGGACAGAAGAGUGGCCACUGAAGCAACACCCAUUUACACUAUGCAAACAUUACCUACAGAUCUCAGACUCUUAAAGGAACAACAAGCUGCUGCGACCCCCCAAGAAAAACAGAGUUGGAAGAGCAGGGGGGCAUUCUCUGAG
Pelobates cultripes (western spadefoot toad) is the source of this 1346-nucleotide non-coding RNA. Lineage: Eukaryota; Metazoa; Chordata; Amphibia; Anura; Pelobatidae. The record is from the annotation of a GenBank genome assembly.